CCUACGGGGGGCUGCAGUGGGGAAUAUUGCACAAUGGGGGAAACCCUGAUGCAGCGACGCCGCGUGAGUGAAGAAGUAUUUCGGUAUGUAAAGCUCUAUCAGCAGGGAAGAUAAUGACGGUACCUGACUAAGAAGCCCCGGCUAACUACGUGCCAGCAGCCGCGGUAAUACGUAGGGGGCAAGCGUUAUCCGGAUUUACUGGGUGUAAAGGGAGUGUAGGCGGUCUUGUAAGUCUGGUGUGAAAGCCCAGGGCUCAACCCUGGGACUGCAUUGGAAACUAUGGGACUAGAGUGUCGGAGAGGUAAGUGGAAUUCCUAGUGUAGCGGUGAAAUGCGUAGAUAUUAGGAGGAACACCAGUGGCGAAGGCGACUUACUGGACGAUAACUGACGCUGAGGCUCGAAAGCGUGGGGAGCAAACAGGAUUAGAUACCCCAGUAGUC
Molecule: ribosomal RNA, 440 nt
Filed under: uncultured Lachnospiraceae bacterium
Lineage: Bacteria; Bacillati; Bacillota; Clostridia; Lachnospirales; Lachnospiraceae
Description: bacterial SSU rRNA
Rfam family: Bacterial small subunit ribosomal RNA
Source: RNAcentral